GAACGCUGGCGGCGUGCUUAACACAUGCAAGUCGAGCGGUAAGGCCCUUCGGGGUACACGAGCGGCGAACGGGUGAGUAACACGUGGGUGAUCUGCCUCGCACUCUGGGAUAAGCCUGGGAAACUGGGUCUAAUACCGGAUAUGACCACCGGUCGCAUGGUUGGUGGUGGAAAGAUUUAUCGGUGCGAGAUGGGCCCGCGGCCUAUCAGCUUGUUGGUGGGGUAAUGGCCUACCAAGGCGACGACGGGUAGCCGGCCUGAGAGGGCGACCGGCCACACUGGGACUGAGACACGGCCCAGACUCCUACGGGAGGCAGCAGUGGGGAAUAUUGCACAAUGGGCGAAAGCCUGAUGCAGCGACGCCGCGUGAGGGAUGACGGCCUUCGGGUUGUAAACCUCUUUCGACAGGGACGAAGCGCAAGUGACGGUACCUGUAGAAGAAGCACCGGCCAACUACGUGCCAGCAGCCGCGGUAAUACGUAGGGUGCGAGCGUUGUCCGGAAUUACUGGGCGUAAAGAGCUUGUAGGCGG
RNAcentral lists this ribosomal RNA (530 nucleotides) under Nocardia aobensis. Its description in RNAcentral is "bacterial SSU rRNA". It matches the Rfam family "Bacterial small subunit ribosomal RNA", at positions 31 to 578 of the family's 1533-position model. The record is from RNAcentral. Lineage: Bacteria; Bacillati; Actinomycetota; Actinomycetes; Mycobacteriales; Nocardiaceae.